CGUAGGAGGCAAACGUUAUCCGGAUUUACUGGGCGUAAAGCGCGUGUAGGUGGUUCUGUAAGUAGGGCGUGAAAGCUCCUGGCUCAACUGGGAGAGGCCGUUCUAAACUGCAGAGCUAGAGGAUGGUAGAGGGAGGUGGAAUUCCGGGUGUAGCGGUGGAAUGCGCAGAUAUCCGGAGGAACACCAGUGGCGAAAGCGGCCUCCUGGACCAUUCCUGACACUCAGACGCGAAAGCUAGGGUAGCAAACGGGAUUAGAGACCCCGGUAGUCCUAGCCCUAAACGAUGUAGACUUGGCGUCGGUGGCUUAAUCGUCAUCGGUGUCGUAGCUAACGCGAUAAGUCUACCGCCUGGGGACUACGGCCGCAAGGUUAAAACUCAAAGGAAUUGACGGGUCCCCGCACAAGCAGCGGAGCGUGUGGUUUAAUUCGUUGCUACACGAAGAACCUUACCUGGGUUUGACAUAGCAGUGGAAGGGAAGCGAAAGCGGACCGACCCUUCGGGGAGCUGUUACAGGUGUUGCAUGGCUGUCGUCAGCUCGUGUCGUGAGAUGUUCGGUUAAGUCCGCUAACGAGCGCAACCCGCGUUGUGUGUUACAAGUGUCACACAAUACCGCCGGUAUUAAGUCGGAGGAAGGUGCGGAUGACGUCAAGUCAGCAUGACCUUUAUAUCCAGGGCUACACACACGCUACAAUGGUCAGCACAAUAGGUUGCCGAGUCGUGAGACGGAGCCAAUCCUCCAAAGCUGGCCUCAGUUCAGAUUGCAGGCUGCAACUCGCCUGCAUGAAGUUGGAGUUGCUAGUAACCGCAGGUCAGCUAUACUGCGGUGAAUACGUUCCCGGGGAUU
This 845-nucleotide ribosomal RNA is filed under the name uncultured Chloroflexota bacterium. RNAcentral describes it as "bacterial SSU rRNA". It matches the Rfam family "Bacterial small subunit ribosomal RNA", at positions 526 to 1382 of the family's 1533-position model. Lineage: Bacteria; Bacillati; Chloroflexota. The record is from RNAcentral.